Molecule: ribosomal RNA, 496 nt
Filed under: uncultured bacterium
Lineage: Bacteria
Description: partial 16S ribosomal RNA
Rfam family: Bacterial small subunit ribosomal RNA
Source: RNAcentral
AUGAACGCUGGCGGCGUGCCUAAUACAUGCCAGUCGAGCGCACAGACGAGGAGCUUGCUCCUCUGACGUUAGCGGCGGACGGGUGAGUAACACGUGGAUAACCUACCUAUAAGACUGGGAUAACUUCGGGAAACCGGAGCUAAUACCGGAUAAUAUAUUGAACCGCAUGGUUCAAUAGUGAAAGACGGUUUUGCUGUCACUUAUAGAUGGAUCCGCGCCGCAUUAGCUAGUUGGUAAGGUAACGGCUUACCAAGGCGACGAUGCGUAGCCGACCUGAGAGGGUGAUCGGCCACACUGGAACUGAGACACGGUCCAGACUCCUACGGGAGGCAGCAGUAGGGAAUCUUCCGCAAUGGGCGAAAGCCUGACGGAGCAACGCCGCGUGAGUGAUGAAGGUCUUCGGAUCGUAAAACUCUGUUAUUAGGGAAGAACAAAUGUGUAAGUAACUAUGCACGUCUUGACGGUACCUAAUCAGAAAGCCACGGCUAACUACGUG